GCCUCCCAAAGUGCUGGGAUGACAGGCGUGAGCCACCAUGCCUGGCCGACAGUCACUUUUAGAAUGUCAACAGUGGAUGCUAGGAUGGGGUCUCCUACCUCUGCCUGUGACGUGCACCGGCCCCUCUAGUCAUG
RNAcentral lists this long non-coding RNA (134 nucleotides) under Pan troglodytes (chimpanzee). RNAcentral describes it as "lincRNA". The record is from RNAcentral. Lineage: Eukaryota; Metazoa; Chordata; Mammalia; Primates; Hominidae.